RNAcentral lists this unclassified non-coding RNA (270 nucleotides) under uncultured bacterium. Its description in RNAcentral is "contains 16S-23S intergenic spacer region". The record is from RNAcentral.
CAUCACGCUUGGUGCAAAGUCUUGUCUCGGGAAGCACAGUAGCUGGCCUAUGGUCUCCUCAUCAAAUCCUAAGACCUGACUUCUUCUCUUGAUGUACUCACAACGUUGCCCCUCCUUUAGGACCAAUGGAUGCCCCAGGAACUGGUUGAUGGCAUCUUCAUUAUAGGGGAUCCAUUGGCCCCGCACCCAGGAGCGCUUAUCCAUGACUUCUUCCUCGGUGGGCUAGGCAUUUGCAUAGAACUCCAUGACUAUCUCUGGAUCAAACUUAGC